This is a long non-coding RNA of Pleuronectes platessa (European plaice), 335 nucleotides long. RefSeq lists it as uncharacterized. Lineage: Eukaryota; Metazoa; Chordata; Actinopteri; Pleuronectiformes; Pleuronectidae. The record is from RefSeq and is a predicted model, not a curated record. The transcript has 2 exons.
AGUAGAUGGUUUGUUCUGUGGUGGAGUCUUUUCUUCAGUAACCAUGAAGGAAAAUGAUUGACACCAGGGUUCGAAUUACACAGUGGCUUUAUGGUGAACAUUGACCCAAUUUUAUUUUUAUAUUUCAGGAACAUAAUGUUCAUAAAAUUAAAUAUAAUCUCGGACAUAAGAGUGAACAAUUACGAGAGCUCCCCUAAAUAUCUCACGGAAGGCCUCUGUCCUUUUUCAGGGGAGCAGAGUUAGAAAACUGUGAUCGUCCUACCGGGUUUAUCUUCAAUUAAGAUUUGACAUCCCAUUACAUAGCAUAUCAUUUAGCUGAGGCUUUUAUCCAAAGC